AAUCAACGCUGGCGGCGUGCCUAACACAUGCAAGUCGAACGCGAAGGAAGACUUCGGUUUUCUGGAGAGUGGCGCACGGGUGAGUAACACGUGGGUAAUCUGCCUUUGGGUGGGGAAUAACGAUCCGAAAGGGUCGCUAAUACCGCAUAACGCAGCGGCACCGCAUGGUGACAGUUGUUAAAGGGGGGGAUCGAAAGACCUCUCGCCUGAAGAGGAGCCCGCGUCCGAUUAGCUAGUUGGUGAGGUAACGGCUCACCAAGGCUUCGAUCGGUAGCCGGCCUGAGAGGGCGGUCGGCCACACUGGCACUGAGACACGGGCCAGACUCCUACGGGAGGCAGCAGUGGGGAAUAUUGGACAAUGGGGGAAACCCUGAUCCAGCAACGCCGCGUGGAGGAUGAAGGUCUUCGGAUUGUAAACUCCUGUUAGGGGGGACGAAGGGAUGUCGGCAAACAGCCGGCAAACUUGACGGUACCCCCAGAGGAAGCCCCGGCUAACUCUGUGCCAGCAGCCGCGGU
RNAcentral lists this ribosomal RNA (516 nucleotides) under uncultured bacterium. RNAcentral's name for it is "bacterial SSU rRNA". It matches the Rfam family "Bacterial small subunit ribosomal RNA", at positions 32 to 521 of the family's 1533-position model. The record is from RNAcentral.